RNAcentral lists this ribosomal RNA (253 nucleotides) under uncultured bacterium. RNAcentral's name for it is "partial 16S ribosomal RNA". It matches the Rfam family "Bacterial small subunit ribosomal RNA", at positions 524 to 776 of the family's 1533-position model. The record is from RNAcentral.
UACGAAGGGGGCUAGCGUUGUUCGGAAUUACUGGGCGUAAAGCGUGCGCAGGCGGCUGCUCAAGUCAGGGGUGAAAGCCCAGAGCUCAACUCUGGAAUUGCCUUUGAGACUGAGUGGCUUGAGUACGGGAGAGGUGAGUGGAAUUCCCAGUGUAGAGGUGAAAUGCGUAGAUAUUGGGAAGAACACCGGUGGCGAAGGCGGCUCUCUGGACCGAUACUGACGCUGAGGCGCGAAAGCGUGGGGAGCAAACAGG